This 73-nucleotide transfer RNA is filed under the name Camelus bactrianus (Bactrian camel). It matches the Rfam family "tRNA". Rfam says of the family: Transfer RNA (tRNA) molecules are approximately 80 nucleotides in length. The record is from Rfam by way of RNAcentral. RNAcentral also lists the same sequence under 2 other names. Lineage: Eukaryota; Metazoa; Chordata; Mammalia; Artiodactyla; Camelidae.
GAGGGUACAGCUCAAGUGGUAGAGCACAUGCUUAGUAUGCACAAGGUCCUGGGUUCAAUCCUCAGUACCUCCU